This 62-nucleotide transfer RNA is filed under the name Ectomocoris horridus. Its description in RNAcentral is "tRNA-Glu". It matches the Rfam family "tRNA". From Rfam's summary of the family: Transfer RNA (tRNA) molecules are approximately 80 nucleotides in length. Their secondary structure includes four short double-helical elements and three loops (D, anti-codon, and T loops). The record is from RNAcentral. Lineage: Eukaryota; Metazoa; Arthropoda; Insecta; Hemiptera; Reduviidae.
AUUUAUAUAGUUUAUAAAAACACUUCAUUUUCAAUGAAGAAAUGAGACCCACUCUAUAAAUA